UACGAAGGGGGCUAGCGUUGCUCGGAAUCACUGGGCGUAAAGGGUGCGUAGGCGGGUCUUUUAAGUCAGGGGUGAAAUCCUGGAGCUCAACUCCAGAACUGCCUUUGAUACUGAAGAUCUUGAGUUCGGGAGAGGUGAGUGGAACUGCGAGUGUAGAGGUGAAAUUCGUAGAUAUUCGCAAGAACACCAGUGGCGAAGGCGGCUCACUGGCCCGAUACUGACGCUGAGGCACGGAAAGCGUGGGGAGCAAACAGG
This 255-nucleotide ribosomal RNA is filed under the name uncultured bacterium. RNAcentral's name for it is "partial 16S ribosomal RNA". It matches the Rfam family "Bacterial small subunit ribosomal RNA", at positions 524 to 776 of the family's 1533-position model. The record is from RNAcentral.